RNAcentral lists this ribosomal RNA (406 nucleotides) under uncultured bacterium. RNAcentral describes it as "partial 16S ribosomal RNA". It matches the Rfam family "Bacterial small subunit ribosomal RNA", at positions 28 to 526 of the family's 1533-position model. The record is from RNAcentral.
GAUGAACGCUAGCUACAGGCUUAACACAUGCAAGUCGAGGGGCCGGCGCACGGGUGAGUAACACGUAUCCAACCUGCCCUUUACUCUGGGAUAGCCUUUCGCAAGAAAGAUUAAUACCCGAUGUAAAGGAUGGGGAGGCGUUCCAUUAGGUUGUUGGUGAGGUAACGGCUCACCAAGCCUUCGAUGGAUAGGGGUUCUGAGAGGAAGGGCCCCCGUAUUUGAACUGAGACACUGACCAAACUGCGACGGGAGGCAGCAGUAAGGACUACUGGUGAAGCGGCGUUAGCCUUAACCAGCCAAGUAGCGGGAAGGUUGAGGGCUUAUGCGUAUUAAAGUUCUCUUAUAGCAGACCAGGCACUAUAUGAAGAAGGAUCGGCUAACUCCGUGCCAGCAGCCGCGGUAAUAC